This 441-nucleotide ribosomal RNA is filed under the name uncultured bacterium. Its description in RNAcentral is "partial 16S ribosomal RNA". It matches the Rfam family "Bacterial small subunit ribosomal RNA", at positions 338 to 795 of the family's 1533-position model. The record is from RNAcentral.
CCUACGGGAGGCAGCAGUGGGGGAUAUUGCACAAUGGGGGGAACCCUGAUGCAGCGACGCCGCGUGGGUGAAGGAGCGUUUCGGCGCGUAAAGCCCUAUCGGCAGGGAAGAAGGAGGACGGGACCAGACUAAGAAGCCCCGGCUAACGACGUGCCAGCAGCCGCGGUAAUACGUAGGGGGCAAGAGUUAGACGGAUUUACUGGGGGGAAAGGGGGCGCAGACGGGAGCGCAAGCCAGGAGUGAAAGCCCGGGGCACAACACCGGGACUGCUCUUGGAACUGCGCGGCGGGAGUGCAGGAGGGGCAGGCGGAAUUCCUGGUGUAGCGGUGAAAUGCGUAGAUAUCAGGAGGAACACCGGUGGCGAAGGCGGCCUGCUGGACUGCGACUGACGUUGAGGCCCGAAAGCGUGGGGAGCAAACAGGAUUAGAUACCCCAGUAGUC